Molecule: ribosomal RNA, 915 nt
Filed under: uncultured archaeon
Lineage: Archaea
Description: bacterial SSU rRNA
Rfam family: Archaeal small subunit ribosomal RNA
Source: RNAcentral
UUCCGGUUGAUCCUGCCGGACCUGACUGCUAUCGGAUUGAUACUAAGCCAUGCGAGUCAUUGCAGCAAUGCAAGGCAGACGGCUCAGUAACGCGUAGUCAACCUAACCUAUGGACGGGAAUAACCUCGGGAAACUGAGAAUAAUGCCCGAUAGAACACUAUACCUGGAAUGGUUUGUGUUCCAAAUGAUUUAUCGCCGUAGGAUGGGACUGCGGCCUAUCAGUUUGUUGGUGAGGUAAUGGCCCACCAAGACUAUUACAGGUACGGGCUCUGAGAGGAGUAGCCCGGAGAUGGGUACUGAGACACGGACCCAGGCCCUAUGGGGCGCAGCAGGCGAGAAAACUUUGCAAUGUGCGAAAGCACGACAAGGUUAAUCCGAGUGGUUUCUGCUAAAGGAACCUUUUGACAGUCCUAGAAACACUGUUGAAUAAGGGGUGGGCAAGUUCUGGUGUCAGCCGCCGCGGUAAAACCAGCACCUCAAGUGGUCAGGAUGAUUAUUGGGCCUAAAGCAUCCGUAGCCGGCUCUGUAAGUUUUCGGUUAAAUCUGUACGCUUAACGUACAGGCUGCUGGGAAUACUGCAGAGCUAGGGAGUGGGAGAGGUAGACGGUACUCGGGAGGAAGUGGUAAAAUGCUUUGAUCUCUCGAUGACCACCUGUGGCGAAGGCGGUCUACCAGAACACGUCCGACGGUGAGGGAUGAAAGCUGGGGGAGCAAACCGGAUUAGAUACCCGGGUAGUCCCAGCUGUAAACUAUGGAAACUCAAUGAUGCACUGGCUUAUGGCCAGUGCAGUGUUGCAGGGAAGCCGUUAAGUUUGCCGCCUGGGAAGUACGUACGCAAGUAUGAAACUUAAAGGAAUUGGCGGGGGAGCACCACAAGGGGUGAAGCCUGCGGUUCAAUUGGAAUCAACGCCGGUA